CCUACGGGAGGCAGCAGUGGGGAAUUUUGGACAAUGGGCGAAAGCCUGAUCCAGCAAUGCCGCGUGCAGGAUGAAGGCCUUCGGGUUGUAAACUGCUUUUGUACGGAACGAAACGGUUCGCCUUAAUACGGUGGGCUAAUGACGGUACCGUAAGAAUAAGCACCGGCUAACUACGUGCCAGCAGCCGCGGUAAUACGUAGGGUGCGAGCGUUAAUCGGAAUUACUGGGCGUAAAGCGUGCGCAGGCGGUUAUAUAAGACAGAUGUGAAAUCCCCGGGCUCAACCUGGGACCUGCAUUUGUGACUGUAUAGCUAGAGUACGGUAGAGGGGGGUGGAAUUCCGCGUGUAGCAGUGAAAUGCGUAGAUAUGCGGAGGAACACCGAUGGCGAAGGCAAUCCCCUGGACCUGUACUGACGCUCAUGCACGAAAGCGUGGGGAGCAAACAGGAUUAGAUACCCUGGUAGUCCACGCCCUAAACGAUGUCAACUGGUUGUUGGGUCUUCACUGACUCAGUAACGAAGCUAACGCGUGAAGUUGACCGCCUGGGGGAGGACGGCCGCGAGUAGUUAACGUUACGUAAUUAGAGUUAGAGGCGNGNGAGNGCGAGGACGACGACGAGGGAGGAGG
This 626-nucleotide ribosomal RNA is filed under the name uncultured bacterium. RNAcentral's name for it is "bacterial SSU rRNA". The stretch from base 1 to 542 matches the Rfam family "Bacterial small subunit ribosomal RNA", at positions 338 to 873 of the family's 1533-position model. The record is from RNAcentral.